CGCGCGGGCUCGCAGGGGAGACCCCGUAUGGGAGCGGCCGCGGCGGCGUGGGCCGCGGCGUGAUGGGCGCGCGCCGCCGCCAAUGAGGAGGGGAAGGCGGGGCGGAGGAGUGACUGGCAGUGCGGACCGUCAAUCGGCCGCGCAGAUCGCGCCGAGGUGGGGAAGGCGGGCUCGUACACUGACGGGCGCGCUGCCCAAUCCUAACUCGGAGGCGUCGGCCGCGGCGGGGCGCCCCGCCAAUGAUAACGGCGGUCCGUCUCAAACUGACCAAUGGGCGCCGCGAAGAGGCGGGGCGAACGGCCGGGCUGCGCCCUUGGAGGGACGGCUUGGCGGCGCCGGGAAUGUGGCGGAAAAGGCGCCAUUUUGGUGCUGGCUCCGCCCCGGCAGCGGCGGCCGCUUUGCCGGGAGCCGGGCGUCCCCCAGCCCGGGCGGCGUCCCCGGGGCGGCCACGCUGCCUCGGUAGCCCUACCCAUGGCGCGACAGCCGUUCUCCUGUCACCUUUUCCUGUCACGAGCCACUUCAGCCCUGUCACGACAGCCGCCAUCCCGCUGUGACAUGUCUUCACAGGCCCUCGUUCCUGUGAAAACAUCCCCAGGGCCCUGUCACGACCUGCCCCACGUCCUGUCACAGCACCCAGCCUUGUCGUGACAGGGACUGUCACCAGCGGGACGCCUGGUCCUCUCCCCGCCUCCGUAUCAAAGCCACCCCACCGGAGCCGCCUUUCCACCCGCUGCCCGUCCCCGCCGGUCACCACCCUUUGAUGUCCCCCAGUGUCGGGGGGCCACAGCACGGGGAGCCCCCCACCCCAGCACCCUCCCCACAGCCCUGCUGUUGAUUUUGGAGGCGCUGCCGACGCCAGCGAGCCCCUCGCCUGGCACCCCACUGACUGCUCAGAUGCUGUCUUCGCCGUGACCUUUUUAUUUUGCACUUUUUUUGGCCUAAUUCCCUUCAUCCCGCAGCUGGAAAAUUGCUGUUGCUCACCGCGACCUCACCCCGCUUCCAGCGGAACUGUUUUAUUUCGGCUUUUUGGUGCGGCACCGGCCCUGCCGGCCAGCUGUGAGCCCCUGGAGUCAUUAAAACAACGCUGGAUGAAGAGCAGAGACCCACCCUGGGGAGGUAAAAUUGAACCAAAAUAAAAUCAAACCCUCCCACAGCUGGCAGUUUCUGGGGACAACCCCUCAUCCUGGCUCUAGCACUGCACGGGGCCUGUCCCCCAAAACCCUGGCAGUGGGGGGACACAGCCAUCCUG
This is a non-coding RNA of Phalacrocorax carbo (great cormorant), 1249 nucleotides long. Lineage: Eukaryota; Metazoa; Chordata; Aves; Suliformes; Phalacrocoracidae. The record is from RefSeq and is a predicted model, not a curated record.